UACGGAGGGUGCAAGCGUUGUUCGGAAUUAUUGGGCGUAAAGCGCGCGCAGGCGGUCUGAAAAGUCUAUGGGUGAAAUGCCGGGGCUCAACCCCGUGCAUGCCCAGGAUACUGUCAGACUGGAGACACGUAGAGGCAAGCGGAAUUCCGGGUGUAGCGGUGGAAUGCGUAGAGAUCCGGAAGAACACCGGAGGCGAAGGCGGCUUGCUGGGCGUGAUCUGACGCUGAGACACGAAAGCGUGGGUAGCAAACAGG
RNAcentral lists this ribosomal RNA (254 nucleotides) under uncultured bacterium. RNAcentral describes it as "partial 16S ribosomal RNA". It matches the Rfam family "Bacterial small subunit ribosomal RNA", at positions 524 to 776 of the family's 1533-position model. The record is from RNAcentral.